GUCAACACCUCUGGGCAUGUACACACACCAGUUCCUCUUAAAAACACAAGGAACAACUUGGGCAUUUGGUUGAGAUUUCAGAAACUCCUCUGCAAAGGGAGAAACCAAUGCAGAGAUAGGUGCUGUGCUGGGGGCUGCCCGCCCUUGCUCUUACGGACAAUCUAUGAGGCAAUUCUCUGUCAAGGAGGCCACAGGAUUUGCCAGGGACCCAAGAGGGACUUGGCUACUGUAACCACAGAGACAAGCAAUGAAAAAAAUUGGGGAAGAGAGUUUGCACCUCAAAGCUACUAUUGGAGAGAGGCUUCAUUAUGUGUGUGCUUUCCUGUGGGCCUGGCAGGAAAACAGAGACCAAAAGAAAGGAAAAUAAAAAAACCUCUAACCCUGAUGCUGGAAACAUCUGGAUUUUUAUAUGCGUUUAGCAUCUCAGGAGAGUUUGUUUUUGUUUGUCCUCCUUGCCAAUAAAGUCAAUGCUUUUCACUGAAAUAUAUGGGAACCGGAAAUAUAUAUUAAAGAGAAGUAUUCCUGGUUAAAAUCAUGCUUGGGUAAUUAAUGGCAGUGUGGUUGUGAUGAGAAGCAGUGAGAUGAUAACCUCCGUGAGCAAUAUCGUGCUAUCUCUCAGCCUCUGCAGAGUUAGCUG
This 637-nucleotide long non-coding RNA is filed under the name Parus major (Great Tit). RNAcentral describes it as "lncRNA (ENSPMJG00000003024.1)". Lineage: Eukaryota; Metazoa; Chordata; Aves; Passeriformes; Paridae. The record is from RNAcentral.